UCUCUCUCUCUCUCUCUUUCAUUUCCCUGCUUGCCGUUCUUUCUAGUCUCUCCCUCUGUCCACAGCCCCACCCCUCACAGCCCCAAACCCUAGACCUCUCCUUCUCUAUCCAUCUCUUUCUUCAGUUUUAUCAUCUAGAUUUUAAUUUUCCGUCCGAAUUUUCCCGACAAAAUUGAAAGGAAAAGAAGUAAUUAGUGGAAUUGAAAAAGAUUUCCCGGAGGAGAGAAUUGUGGAAAUGGCGACAUCUUCUAUCACCAGCACGGUGUAUAUCCACGUCAUCGAAGACGUCAUCAACAAGGUACGCGAUGAGUUCAUCAGCAACGGCGGGCCUGGCGAGAGUGUCCUCAAUGAACUCGAAGGAAUUUGGGAGAUGAAAAUGAUGCAAGCGGGUGUAAUAUGCGGUCCAAUAGAGAGGUCAUCAGCUUCUAAGCCGGCACCUGGUGGUCCUAUCACUCCAGUACACGACCUUAAUGUACCUUAUGAAGGGACUGAGGAGUAUGAGACUCCUACUGCUGAGAUACUCUUCCCUCCCACACCACUUCAAACCCCCAUUCCAACACCACUGCCAGGAAGUGUGCAAACACCUUUACCAGGAAACUUGCAGACACCUUUACCAGGAAAUAUGCAGACACCAAGUGUGGACAACUCCUCUAUGUAUAACGUUCCUACUGGACCUACUAGUGAGUAUCCCACCCCUGUAAGCGAUACUGGUGGCAGCAUCGAGGCAAAGUCUGGGAGGCCUAGCCCUUACAUGCAACCUCCUUCUCCUUGGAUGAAUCAGAGACCUCCUCUUGAUGUUAACAUUGCUUAUGUGGAAGGGCAGAAUGAGACAGACAGAGUAGCCUCUCAGCAACCGCGAACGCAGGAUUUCUUCAUGAUGUCUUCUGGAAAACGCAAGCGUGAAGAUUUUGGUACACAAUAUAACAAUGGUGAAUUCAUACCCCAGCAGGAUGGAGCUGGGGAUGCUCCCUAUGAGGCUUUGCAGGCAAGCCAAGGGAAUGGUGCCCUUGGUAGACAUGACAUGAUCACCAAUGCAAAUAUAUCGAUCUUAUCGCAUGCAACAAGGCAGGCUUUGAAGAUUCCUCAACUGGAUGGGCCCAUACCUGAUCCUUAUGAUGAUGUGCUUUCAACUCCCAAUAUAUACAAUUAUCAGGGAGUUGUUAAUGAAGAUUACAACAUUGCGAACACGCCAGCUCCUAAUGACCUACAAGCAGGCACUCCUGCUGUUGCUACUCAAAAUGAUGCUGGAGAUGAUGACGAUGAUGAUGAGCCGCUGAAUG
RNAcentral lists this unclassified non-coding RNA (1280 nucleotides) under Hevea brasiliensis (rubber tree). Lineage: Eukaryota; Viridiplantae; Streptophyta; Magnoliopsida; Malpighiales; Euphorbiaceae. The record is from RNAcentral.